RNAcentral lists this ribosomal RNA (174 nucleotides) under uncultured soil bacterium. Its description in RNAcentral is "partial 16S ribosomal RNA". It matches the Rfam family "Bacterial small subunit ribosomal RNA", at positions 26 to 227 of the family's 1533-position model. The record is from RNAcentral.
GAGAACGAACGCUGGCGGCAUGCCUAACACAUGCAAGUCGAACGAGACCUUCGGGUCUAGUGGCGCACGGGUGCGUAACGCGUGGGAAUCUGCCCUUGGGUUCGGAAUAACAGCGAGAAAUUGCUGCUAAUACCGGAUGAUGACGUAAGUCCAAAGAUUUAUCGCCCAAGGAUG